This 505-nucleotide ribosomal RNA is filed under the name uncultured bacterium. RNAcentral's name for it is "partial 16S ribosomal RNA". It matches the Rfam family "Bacterial small subunit ribosomal RNA", at positions 28 to 507 of the family's 1533-position model. The record is from RNAcentral.
GACGAACGCUGGCGGCGUGCCUAAUACAUGCAAGUAGAACGCACAGUUUAUACCGUAGCUUGCUACACCAUAAACUGUGAGUUGCGAACGGGUGAGUAACGCGUAGGUAACCUGCCUGGUAGCGGGGGAUAACUAUUGGAAACGAUAGCUAAUACCGCAUAAUAUUGAUUAUUGCAUGAUAAUUGAUUGAAAGCUGCUAUUGCAUCACUACCAGAUGGACCUGCGUUGUAUUAGCUAGUAGGUGAGGUAACGGCUCACCUAGGCGACGAUACAUAGCCGAACUGAGAGGGUGAUCGGCCACACUGGGACUGAGACACGGCACAGACGCCUACGGGAGGCAGCAGUAGGGAAUCUUCGGCAAUGGACGAAAGUCUGACCGAGAAAGGCCGCGGGAGUGAAGAAGGUUUUCGGAUCGUAAAGCUCUGUUGUAAGAGAAGAACGGGUGUGAGAGUGGAAAGUUCACACUGUGACGGUAUCUUACCAGAAAGGGACGGCUAACUACGUG